Paramormyrops kingsleyae is the source of this 175-nucleotide non-coding RNA. NCBI's taxonomy places the organism in Eukaryota, Metazoa, Chordata, Actinopteri, Osteoglossiformes, Mormyridae. The record is from RefSeq and is a predicted model, not a curated record.
CAGAGGGGGGCGUAGAGGUGCUCAGUGGACAGUACAGCCUUCUGCGACAAAAUUUGUUGUUCAAUAGGGGACAUCAUAGUUCAUACGGGAUUGAAUAUGUUACUGAUAAAGUUGGGGAAAUUCUAGAACAGUGGGGCCCAUUUAUACAGGAACAAUAUAGCAAUAGGCUGAAUUG